UUAAGUUCAGCGGUAGUCCUACCUGAUUUGAGAUCAAACAUUCAAAGGGUCAUCCUCACUGAGGAGAGACAUCUAUGAGCUCCAGCAAACCUCCACUGCUGAAGGUUACCCUGGUGGAAAACCACAAGCGUAGAUAGUUAUCACACCUGUGAUGCCCACCAAACACUGGCAAGCUGAUUCAUUUAGAGGAGCCGACCACA
Molecule: unclassified non-coding RNA, 200 nt
Filed under: Tomentella sp.
Lineage: Eukaryota; Fungi; Basidiomycota; Agaricomycetes; Thelephorales; Thelephoraceae
Description: partial internal transcribed spacer 2
Source: RNAcentral